AAUAUAAGAGGAAGGGAGCCAGUGGCUGUGUUGUGCUAUGAGGCUGUGUAAAGUUCUUACUGGAAUAAGGUGACACAAAUGUUUUGGUUUAAAAAAUAAUAAUAAUCAGCUGAAGUAUUUGGAAAUUCAACUGGAAGAGAUUUGAGGAUAGAUGGGGUUGUGAGUGAAUUUGGCUGUGCUGGAAGUUUGCCCUGAAGUAAAAGCUACUCGGAGGCUAGCGUCAGGGUCAAUGUCUCUGCCUUAGCAUGGACCAACACUGGAGGGUAUAAUAAUUCACUCUCAGGGAGUACCUUCACAAAAAACCCUACAUUUUAUUUUAUUUAUUAAGUUUAAAUCCUAUGCAGCCAUAGGUUCUCGCAGUGAAUUACAGGGAAGUGUUAUUUUGGCAAGGGUUCUGAGAAUUCGCCAUCAGAUAUUCCCCUCCUCCCUUAAAAAAAACAACAACCCCUCUUUUGUAGAAGUAUAAUUCUCACUGACUUCCCUGGGAAAACAAACAUCUGUCACAGAGGCAGUGUGGUGCAGUGGUUAGACUGCCUAUGACCGGACACACCCAGAUUCAAAUCUCCUCAACCCAUGCCACCAAACUCCCUCAGCAACCUUGGACCAGUCACAUUCUCUCUCAGCCUCUCAGUGUCGUUGAGAGAAUAAUUGAGGCCCUUCUCUCCAGGCUCUGCUCCACUCCUUUAUUGAAUCCGUUUCCCUGGCUGGAAUGUGUCCUUGAACUCAGAUAAUACCUCUGGCUUGCCUGGAUUGAGAGAUGUUUGUAAAUGGAAUGUAGCCUGCUCCUGUGCCUGGAGACAGUCAGAUCGUGUAUCCACAGCAGCGACUAGGGGAGGAAUGACUGCUGGGAGAAGCAUAGAAAGAAGAAUUGCCAUGGUACACCUGCAUCAGCACAACUGGAUGCCUUCAUUUGCCCCACCUGCAACAAAACAUGUCUCUCUCAUAUCAGCCUCUACAGCUACAACAGGCAAUGCAACUCCAAUGGAUUGACUUCACCUCCAAAGGCAUACUCCUCCAUUGUCUCCUGAGACAGAUGGACACCAACAACAAAGCUUGCUCUACAAAGACCUCAACUCCUCUACGUAAAACUUGCAUGUAUGUAAGUGCAGUGGCUAUUUGCUACUCACUGCUUGCAAGAGGAAAGGCACAAAUUCUAUUCUGAUCUGCCAAAGUUUCCUACCUGAUUCCCUGGAACUGAUCCUGAGUAGUCACUACAGGUAUGCUGUCAACAUGCCAAUUUCCUUGGGAUGAAAUACUUGCGGCAAGUCUAUUAAUGAGGGGGCGAAGAAGGAACAGCAGAGAUUUUCCUCCAGUUUUUAAAUUGUAUUGGGCAUGCUUUGCCAUGCUGCACACAUGAUCCCUGUGGAUGUUGGCCAUUAACCUCCCACUGUGACCUUGACAUCGCAGUGGUGCAAUUCCUUCUGGUUACUGUGCACCUACCUAUCUGGUGACUUUUGAAUAAAUAAAAAGGAAGCUGUUUUAUUUUUAACACAUUUCCCACAUUUACAGUGGGCAGUCCUGACCUCUGGGUCAGAGAUUUCCUAGCAAUUACCGUAAAUAACCAAACCAAAGAGAUUUUGGCCACUUCUGUUGGCUAGAAAUAUUGAUGAAGGUCCAGGCCUUGCAAAGCUUUGGCAUGGCAUGCCU
Molecule: non-coding RNA, 1647 nt
Organism: Podarcis muralis (Common wall lizard)
Lineage: Eukaryota; Metazoa; Chordata; Lepidosauria; Squamata; Lacertidae
Source: RefSeq, a predicted model, not a curated record